GAAAAAGAACCUGAAACCGUGUACGUACAAGCAGUGGGAGCACCCUUUGGGGUGUGACUGCGUACCUUUUGUAUAAUGGGUCAGCGACUUAUAUUCUGUAGCAAGGUUAACCGUAUAGGGGAGCCGGAGGGAAACCGAGUCUUAAUUGGGCGUUAAGUUGCAGGGUAUAGACCCGAAACCCGGUGAUCUAGCCAUGGGCAGGUUGAAGGUUGGGUAACACUAACUGGAGGACCGAACCGACUAAUGUUGAAAAAUUAGCGGAUGACCUGUGGCUGGGGGUGAAAGGCCAAUCAAACCGGGAGAUAGCUGGUUCUCCCCGAAAGCUAUUUAGGUAGCGCCUCGUGAAUUCAUCUCCGGGGGUAGAGCACUGUUUCGGCUAGGGGGCCAUCCCGGCUUACCAACCCGAUGCAAACUGCGAAUACCGGAGAAUGUUAUCACGGGAGACACACGGCGGGUGCUAACGUCCGUCGUGAAGAGGGAAACAACCCAGACCGCCAGCUAAGGUCCCAAAGUCAUGGUUAAGUGGGAAACGAUGUGGGAAGGCCCAGACAGCCAGGAUGUUGGCUUAGAAGCAGCCAUCAUUUAAAGAAAGCGUAAUAGCUCACUGGUCGAGUCGGCCUGCGCGGAAGAUGUAACGGGGCUAAACCAUGCACCGAAGCU
Molecule: ribosomal RNA, 660 nt
Filed under: Salmonella enterica subsp. enterica serovar Pomona
Lineage: Bacteria; Pseudomonadati; Pseudomonadota; Gammaproteobacteria; Enterobacterales; Enterobacteriaceae
Description: partial 23S ribosomal RNA
Rfam family: Bacterial large subunit ribosomal RNA
Source: RNAcentral